GCCCUCCAGACCCCUUCCUCGCCAGAUCUAAACCCUGGCCUGCAUGGCGACAAAAGGAGGAGAAGUAAAACUGAAACAGACUUCAGGGGCUAAAAAGAAAAAGAAAAGAUUUGUUUACUGCAUUA
This 125-nucleotide small nucleolar RNA is filed under the name Echinops telfairi (small Madagascar hedgehog). RNAcentral's name for it is "Small nucleolar RNA SNORA61 (ENSETEG00000025969.1)". The record is from RNAcentral. Lineage: Eukaryota; Metazoa; Chordata; Mammalia; Afrosoricida; Tenrecidae.